AAGAAGUACAUUUAUAAGACUCAAUCCUUUCACUAUUCCUCAAAACCAAGUAAUAAUCACAAAACACUUGCCCUUUUCUCUUUUUCUCUGAUUUUAACAUGCUAUGAAGCCUUCCUCCCGCCCAGCUCUAAAUGCUAAGCUCAUUUUUAACCAUCAUUUUCAUGUUAAUUGCAUGGGGGGGCGGGGGAGGGCACUAACAGGCAAGGCAAAGGGAUGGAAUCACAAAACUAAAUGGUCCAUUUUCCUUUGAGUGCUGAAUGUAUUUCAAAAUAAAAUACACGAGAAAAGCCCAACUUCACUUUAAGUACUGAUUUUCACCUGUCCAAUAAAUGACUCAUUUGUCCCAUGGUCUCAGUCACCAUGCCAUUUUGGUGUUAAGGAACAAAGAAACAGUCCAAAAUGGUCAACAGGAGAAAGGAAAGAAUAGAAGCCAUGCAGCAUGCAAAGGAAACUGUGAAGAACUGUAUCUGCCAUCAAGACCAGCCCUGACCAUCACAGCUUCUCCCAUGGGCCAGACCAAAUCUCACUGUGCCAUCGUGGGCGUGCAGUUUAACAACUUCUACACGCUGUACGCAGUUCAGAAACAGACAUUAAACCACAUCUUGUACCUGGCGGCAUUUCUUCCAAACUUCCCUUUCAACAACCAGAUAAAAAAAUUUGAUCACAGCAAUGGAGAUGUCACUGUCAGAGUCAAGAAACCUUCUUAAAAGAUAAGGCAAUGCUUUAUAAAAAGGACUUUCAGCUAGAGACUGUAAUUUGGACGUUUGGAUUUUUGUCUCCUGUAUAUACAGUAGUAUAUAAUCAGGAAUUCACACUCCCGAACUUUAGCACUUGCCUAAAAAUCUGUUACCAUGAUGAGCACCGAGUCAUGUAUAGAACUGUUGAAUCGUUACAUUGUACACCUGAAACUAACAUAACACUAUGUUAAUUAUACUUCAAUUAAAAAACAAAAACAAACCUAUAGUUGCUUUUACUUAUGGAGUAACAAUAAAUACUCAAAGGUCUAAGACAUGACCUAUGAUGUACGUCCCGUACACACCACUUGGCUCUCCUUACAGAAUAUUAAGGUGGCAGUCAGUCUACUACAUCCCAAAGAGCCCAGCCAAAAGCCUCAUUCUCAGUUUCUUUAAUUGUCAAAUACAUUCUAUAACUAGAACAUACAAUCAGUAACACGCUUAAUUACAACAGUGGGCAUUUUAAUUGCUUUUGGAAAACUAGCCAACAACCUGUUGUAUACAACUUCAAAAGGAUGCACUCUCAUGAGCUAAUUAAGAUCUAAACCCUAACAAACUGUAGCUCUCACAGUGAUACUCACUUGCAAGCUGCAUUACAAGUAAGGUAUAUAAAAGGAUAAUUUAGAAAUUACUUAUGGGAAUUAGGGGACUUAUUUAACUCAAUUUUGCUUUGGAUCUUCCCAUAAUUUAGAGGGCUGGCCUUCAAGAAGACAAAGUCCCCCGGCUGGGAAAGUCAGAAUCAUUUGCUUUGUCUAAGUCAUUUCAGAUCAUUCCAUAUUUGGGUUUAUUUAGCUGCCUUGGAAAAGUUUUGGCAUUUUUUGAAGAAAAUUUUAUUUUUUUUACGUUGAUUUGUUUUUGAGAGACAGAGAAAAAGUGCAUGCGUGAGCGGGGGAGGAGCAGAGAGAGAGAAUCUCAAACAGGCUCCACAGUGUCAGCACAGAGCCCCAAAUGGGGCUUGAACUCACGAACUGUGAGAUCAUGACCUGAGCCAAAAUCAAGAGUCAGACACUUAACCAACUGAGCCACCCAGGUUCCCCUAAGAAAAGUUUAAAGAGAGCCAACUAGAAAAAGGAGUAAGACAUUUUGUGUGAUGUUUCUGAAACAAUGAGUCAAUGGACACAGCUCAAAAGGUACCAGUAAAGUUUUCUAAGAAACAGGAGAGCAUUUUGCAUCAUUUCUCCUUUGCCCCAGACCUCUCACUUAAUAAAGUUUAGAGCUCUGGCUUAUUUUAUUAAAAGGACAAAACCCUCAUCAUGAAAAGAUUCAACAGAAAGAAAAAUGUCUGGUUUUGCCCUUUCCUCUCUGAGUCAGCACAUGCUUGCAGCAAACUCGGAGAACAAAAGUACCUCCUUACCUGCAAUGAUGAGAUGAUUCUGAUUCACCAUCUUUAGGAAGACCACUCUCAUGGGCGAAAACUUUUCCAAACCAUCAGAAUGGCCAUGUGGGCCUGAUUCAACACCAAGAAUGAGAAGUUACAGUAAAAACAUUAUGGAGUGAAAAUUUCUGGUUGUACUGAAGAACACCUUAAUAACCCACUGUUACCCUCCAUUAGGCUAACUCAUUCUUCUGAUAUCAAAUUUAACUCCACCUGGGGCACUUGGGUAACUCCGUGGGUUAAGCGUCCGACUCUUGAUUUCAGCUCAGAUCAUGACCUCACAGUUGUGAGAUGGAGCCCCAUGUCAGGCUCUGCACUGGGUGUGGAGCCUGCUUAAGACUCUCUCUCUCCCUCUGCCCCUCCCUUGCUCGUGCUCAAGCUCUCACGCUCUCUCUCAAAAAAAAAAAAAAAAAAAUUAACUCCACCUGGACAGCACAAUGAUUUACACAUGGCACCUACAUAAAGCCCCUGCCUGUAAUUCACACCAACUAAUUUAAGUCCAAUGAGCUAUAUGACCCUAUUCCUGAAAAAAGGCACAAGAACUUCAGUCUGGUUUCAUUGGCAUCAGCGCCACCAAAGAGGAAGAAAGGUUUCUAAACUUUUCCUCUCUGCCCUUAAGCCAAUUCUUCCAAGGUAGUCUAAACCCAGCCACUGGCUAGCCUUGUGCAAUCCUGCUAAGUCUGCUCCUUUGCAAUAAUCUCCAUAGCAAUGGGCUCUGUGACCUAACCCACAGCCAAGGAAGCAAGGUACUUCAGACACAAACACCCAACCAGGGAGCAAGGACAUCAGCUGAGGCAUCAGGGAUGUCUGAGCUACUUUUGGAGGCUCUGAUAAACAAGCAGGUCAUCUGUAACUAGUGUCCUUUUAAGAAGAGGACACUUGGACACAACGUGCACUGCACACACAGUAAAAGACCAAGCGAGGACACAGCAAGCAAGAAGGCAGCCAUCUGCAAGCCAAGGAGAUCGGCCUCCGGAGAAAACAACCCCACCAAUAUCUUGGUCUGGGACUUCUAGCCUCCAGAAUAGUGUGGGCAUGCAGGUUUUUGAGAAGAGGCAACACAGGUGAGAGAAGACCCAGAAGCAGAUGGUGGGGAUGUCCUUCCAGGAGUCAUCUUCAUUACCCUGGCAAUCUUUAAAGUAUUUAUCGAGUCAAUAAAGCAGUCAAGUGAUGGUGGCAUGCUGAACAGGUUUCAGACAGGCUACAGGCAGUAAUACACUGCUAUGGCCAUUCGCUGGCCCAAGUCAGGCCACCGGUCAGGCUUGCAAAGAAGCGACAGACCACAAAUUAGAAUUACACAGAAGUUGUACACUGAUGUAAUGCACACCUCUUGCCCCUGCACACCCCCACAGAAACACAUUUAUCCUCCACACGGUCCCAGGCCUUCUGGGUGCCUCUGCUCCUGGCCUUUCACACUAUCUUUACACUAAUUAUUUGUAGACAAUCCUGUCUCUUCAUCUAGACUGUCUGCUCCCGGAGAGGUAUGAUCCACACUAGAGUCCACCUUUGUAUUGUGCCUACAAAACAAGAAUUCAGUACCUAUUUCGUGAACAGCAGGUUAAUCCCGGCAGCAUAGAACCCUAAGGAGGAGAUGGAAAGCCUCUAGACUACAGCAAUGCUUCCAUAAAUUAACAUGCAGACAAAUGACCUAAGGAUCUCGCUAAAAUACACAUUCUUGAAUACCACCCCCUGGAGAUUACAACUCAGCAGUUCUGGGGUAGGGUUCCCAAAUCUUCAUUUCUAGCAAGACCUCAAGGAGACUGAUGUUGCCGGUCCACUCCGGCUGUGCCUAGAAUAACCUCCCACCUGAAGCAGAAGUCACCCCAAGUGCAAUUCUGAGAGGAAUACCAUGGGGUAGCUUCUGCACCCCUCCCUCCACUCCCAGGAGAAAAGGUGACACACCCCAAGGCCACCCAGUCUGCUUCAGGUCCUAGAACUGCUAAAGACGUUCUCCCUUAUAUACCAAGUUCCCCGGAGUUCAAACGCCUGCCCUGGAGACACUAUCGAUGUGCCCACAAAGGUCUCUCACUGACUUUUUUUCAAAUCACUCACUCACUUUCCUUCCUUGUCUCCCUGCCUUUGCCUCUUUCUCUUUGCCCUUGCACAACUGGAACCACAUCUGAAUACUAAACUACAGCCCUUUUAUUUGUGCUCUUAGGAAAAUAUCCCAGGAAAACCGCAUGCUUCUCAAGUUACAGGUCCUCCCCUCUCUGAAUUUAUCUACUUUUCCCAUAAUAAACCCCCUCCAUGCCAGCAAUUAAUCAGCCCCCAAAGACCACCCAGGAACAGCCAAGGAGAACCCUGCCCUCUCCAUAAAGCUGCCUGCCAGCACCAUGCGCGUCCCCGAGUCCCUUGCGAGCACAGCAGUGCCUUCAUUAGUCACACAAAGAGGUGGGCCAACCUCAGGCUUCCUUCUAGCUCUGCUGCCCUAGAAGAGUAUGACCUAAACCCAGGGACACCUGGGAACCAUUCCAGAUUCUUCCUUUGUUGACACUCUCUUCUUAGAGAGCAUCUGGAGAGUCAAUGUCAGGAGGCCUGGAGUCAAAUCCCAACUCCACCUGCAAGGAGGUCUGUGAUGGUGAGCUCAUCAGAUAAGGCAUUUGACCCUCCAUUUCCUCAACUAUAAACUGAGGAUAAUCAUAUCUCAGAGCUACUUUGUGAGAUUUCAUUGAGGUAAAUGACAUUUGUAAAAUUCCCAAACUGCAAGACAUGACAGAAAUGUUAAUUAUCGUCUCGCACUGCCAGGUACUCAAAUACUGGCUGCAUGUAUGACAUCCCUGUCUGCAGGCUACAUUCCUCACAAGGUAAACGAAGUCAAAUUCCACACAACGAUGGUCUCUGAAAUCACUGCUCUCCACUACUGUUGAGCCACUAUUUAUUUAUUGGCAACUCAUCAGGCUCCAGGCCUGUGCUAAGCACUUCACACGUGUUAUCACAUCCCGUCCUCAUUACCACCUCAAUGAGGCAGGUGCUAUCAUGAUCCCCAUUUUACAAAUGGGGAGAGUAAAGCACAAAACAGUUAAGUAAUGUGUUCAAGGUGACACAGCUAGCAGUGGCAAAGAAGGAAUCUGAAGCCAGGAGGUCUUAUUCUAGAGCCAGUGCCCCUAACUUCCAGGGGAGGCCGACCCCUGCGGGACACAAAGAUCCACGCGUGUCUCCGCAUGGGAACGGCACCGGCACCUCUGCCCCCACGUUUUAGCUCUGUACUCGGAGAACUCGUUCACAGGACAAAAUGACAGCAUGAUGCUCCAGAAAAAUUACAGCUAUUCAUUCUCCCAAUUAGCAUGUGAUGAAGAGAAGGGGGAAAUCACCAACUAUUUAAUGUGCUUGAAACCUGGUCUAUGAAAGAUUCAGUCAUUUGAAAACCACAUUUAUAACUGGAAGUAAAUCUCAAGAAAUAUAAACUCGAGGCAAGGUUUUCACUUCAAUAACCCUUGUAGUUAAUAAGUUUCGCAAGUAAAAGAAGAAUAUCGGAGGACAGGCUCUACGUUGUAUGCCCCAACAAUGUAAGCUAGUCAGAGGCUCGGAGGAACCUCCCACAUCUGUAACUAGAACAUCCCCUGAGGCAGCUUAAGAAUCAUAAAUUGGAUCUGCAUCCUUCUUUGGGAUGACAUACCUGUGACAAGCCCAGAAUUCCAGGAGACCUGGACCUCUUUACACCACCUAACUUAAUUAACAGAGCUAAUGACAGCAAAAUGGGUAAAAAGAAACAGUAAAUCUUUGCAACUUUUCUGUAAGUCUAAAAAUACUCCAAAAUAGACCAGUUAUUUUAAAACAUACAAAAAAUAACAAAAAGCCAACAGAAAAACAAGCAAAGAAUAUGACCAGACCGUUCACAAAGAGAAAAUACGAUCAGAUCUAGGAUAUAGUAAGAGAUGCUCAACAUUAUUAAUAAGAAAUGCAAACUGAAACCACUAUGAGAUACAAUUUUUCUCUUAUCAGAUUGGCAAAAAUUCAAAAGUUUAACCACAAAUCUUGUUGCCAAGGCUUGGGGAAAUCCCUACUCUUAAACAGGAAUAUAAAUUGGUACAACCAAUACAAAUUCGUACAGAGGAUUUGGGCAGUAACUAUCAAAAUGACAAAUGCACAUAUACUUUGACUAACAAUUUCACUCCUGGGAGUUUAUCCUACAGAUGUAUACAUACACAUGGAUGAAAUGCCAUAUAAUCAAAAUUAUUCAAAGCAGCAUCAUUUGUAAGAGUGAAGAACUAGACAUAACCCAAGGUCAUUACAUAUGAACCGAUUAAAUAUGAAAGAGUACAACCAUAUAAUGGACUAUUGGGCAGCUUUAAAGACAAUUAAUUAGGUAGCUCUCUCCAUACUGAGAUGGAAUGAUCUCCAAGAUAUACUGAUAAUCACAAAAAAGCAAGAUGCGGAAUGAUGUUUAUGGUAUCGCUG
Molecule: long non-coding RNA, 6507 nt
Organism: Leopardus geoffroyi (Geoffroy's cat)
Lineage: Eukaryota; Metazoa; Chordata; Mammalia; Carnivora; Felidae
Exons: 3
Source: RefSeq, a predicted model, not a curated record